GACCGCUGGCGGCAGGCCUAACACAUGCAAGUCGAGCGGUAGAGAGGAGCUUGCUUCUCUUGAGAGCGGCGGACGGGUGAGUAAUGCCUAGGAAUCUGCCUAGUGGUGGGGGAUAACGUUCGGAAACGGACGCUAAUACCGCAUACGUCCUACGGGAGAAAGCGGGGGAUCUUCGGACCUCGCGCCAUUAGAUGAGCCUAGGUCGGAUUAGCUAGUUGGUGAGGUAAUGGCUCACCAAGGCGACGAUCCGUAACUGGUCUGAGAGGAUGAUCAGUCACACUGGAACUGAGACACGGUCCAGACUCCUACGGGAGGCAGCAGUGGGGAAUAUUGGACAAUGGGCGAAAGCCUGAUCCAGCCAUGCCGCGUGUGUGAAGAAGGUCUUCGGAUUGUAAAGCACUUUAAGUUGGGAGGAAGGGUUGUAGAUUAAUACUCUGCAAUUUUGACGUUACCGACAGAAUAAGCACCGGCUAACUUCGUGCCAGCAGCCGCGGUAAUAC
Molecule: ribosomal RNA, 500 nt
Filed under: uncultured Pseudomonas sp. HD-2000/14
Lineage: Bacteria; Pseudomonadati; Pseudomonadota; Gammaproteobacteria; Pseudomonadales; Pseudomonadaceae
Description: bacterial SSU rRNA
Rfam family: Bacterial small subunit ribosomal RNA
Source: RNAcentral